This is a long non-coding RNA of Mangifera indica (mango), 786 nucleotides long. RefSeq lists it as uncharacterized. The transcript is spliced from 3 exons. Lineage: Eukaryota; Viridiplantae; Streptophyta; Magnoliopsida; Sapindales; Anacardiaceae. The record is from RefSeq and is a predicted model, not a curated record.
GGAAAGACGGAAAAAAGUGGAUAAGUGAGAGGAGAUGGUCCAAUGGUGACCCAGGGAGUCAAUGGAUGCUGAAAAUUAGCCCUCGUCACCAUCACCGAAACGGUAGGGUGUCCUUUAUAGUUUGCAAAUGAAAAUUAAUACUUUAUUUAUGCUGCUCAUCUAUCACAUAUGCAGUACUUAACAUCAUAAGAUAAAAUAUCCUGUUCUCGAACGGAACUUAAAGACAAAUCAAAUGCUAAAAGGGUUUUGAUGGAUGACAUUUGCCGAAAUCAAAAACCCUUUCAUGGGGAGGGAACAUGUUUAGAUGUAAAGUCCAUUGGUUUGAAUGGAGAAGAUAAUGACUACAUUACAAAGAUAAAAGAGUUAGAAGACCACCUUGACAUGGUGAAGAAGUUAGUGAAACCAGGUUGUUCGGAAGAAGUGGUGAACGUGGCCUUGAGUUCUAUGGCUUCCCUUGUUGAGAUCCUCACUUGUAUCUCCCCUACACCAAAACUCCAUGCCUCCCUGUGAUCAUAUUUUAGCAACUGGGUAUUUCACAUUUCAGAAGGACGAAUCAGAUUGUAAUGCCAUUGAUCUGAAAACAAAAUCACUCAUUUAUAAAGUUGUAUAUAUACUUGAUUCGAUGGAAUCACAAGAAAGUGAUUGGCAGGUACAUUUAUAAGUAGGGCGAACUACUUUGCUUUAGUUCCAGAGCUGUUGUAGCUUUGAGUCUCAAUGCGACGUGAAAUAUAAAUAAUUAUGGCUUAUGGUUGACGUGUCCAUUGGGCAUGGGCCUUUUGAACUGGA